UAGGGAAUAUUGGGCAAUGGAGGGAACUCUGACCCAGCCAUGCCGCGUGCAGGAUGAAGGCGUUAUGCGUUGUAAACUGCUUUUUAUAUAGGAAGAAAUAGUCCUUGCGAGGAAAGUUGACGGUACUAUAUGAAUAAGCACCGGCUAACUCCGUGCCAGCAGCCGCGGUAAUACGGAGGGUGCAAGCGUUGUCCGGAUUUAUUGGGUUUAAAGGGUGCGUAGGCGGUUUAUUAAGUCAGUGGUGAAAGACGGUCGCUCAACGAUUGCAGUGCCAUUGAUACUGGUAGACUUGAGUAUGAUUGAGGUAGCUGGAAUGGAUAGUGUAGCGGUGAAAUGCAUAGAUAUUAUCCAGAACACCAAUUGCGUAGGCAAGUUACUAAGUCAUAACUGACGCUGAGGCACGAAAGUGUGGGUAUCAAACAGGAUUAGAUACCCGUGUAGUCCCUGAGCGGGCUGGCAAGGCGCAU
RNAcentral lists this ribosomal RNA (467 nucleotides) under uncultured bacterium. Its description in RNAcentral is "bacterial SSU rRNA". It matches the Rfam family "Bacterial small subunit ribosomal RNA", at positions 355 to 825 of the family's 1533-position model. The record is from RNAcentral.